This 883-nucleotide ribosomal RNA is filed under the name Microbacterium sp. RNAcentral describes it as "bacterial SSU rRNA". It matches the Rfam family "Bacterial small subunit ribosomal RNA", at positions 557 to 1437 of the family's 1533-position model. The record is from RNAcentral. Lineage: Bacteria; Bacillati; Actinomycetota; Actinomycetes; Micrococcales; Microbacteriaceae.
GGCGUAAAGAGCUCGUAGGCGGUUUGUCGCGUCUGCUGUGAAAUCCCGAGGCUCAACCUCGGGCCUGCAGUGGGUACGGGCAGACUAGAGUGCGGUAGGGGAGAUUGGAAUUCCUGGUGUAGCGGUGGAAUGCGCAGAUAUCAGGAGGAACACCGAUGGCGAAGGCAGAUCUCUGGGCCGUAACUGACGCUGAGGAGCGAAAGGGUGGGGAGCAAACAGGCUUAGAUACCCUGGUAGUCCACCCCGUAAACGUUGGGAACUAGUUGUGGGGACCAUUCCACGGUUUCCGUGACGCAGCUAACGCAUUAAGUUCCCCGCCUGGGGAGUACGGCCGCAAGGCUAAAACUCAAAGGAAUUGACGGGGACCCGCACAAGCGGCGGAGCAUGCGGAUUAAUUCGAUGCAACGCGAAGAACCUUACCAAGGCUUGACAUAUACGAGAACGGGCCAGAAAUGGUCAACUCUUUGGACACUCGUAAACAGGUGGUGCAUGGUUGUCGUCAGCUCGUGUCGUGAGAUGUUGGGUUAAGUCCCGCAACGAGCGCAACCCUCGUUCUAUGUUGCCAGCACGUAAUGGUGGGAACUCAUGGGAUACUGCCGGGGUCAACUCGGAGGAAGGUGGGGAUGACGUCAAAUCAUCAUGCCCCUUAUGUCUUGGGCUUCACGCAUGCUACAAUGGCCGGUACAAAGGGCUGCAAUACCGUGAGGUGGAGCGAAUCCCAAAAAGCCGGUCCCAGUUCGGAUUGAGGUCUGCAACUCGACCUCAUGAAGUCGGAGUCGCUAGUAAUCGCAGAUCAGCAACGCUGCGGUGAAUACGUUCCCGGGUCUUGUACACACCGCCCGUCAAGUCAUGAAAGUCGGUAACACCUGAAGCCGGUGGCCCA